Molecule: ribosomal RNA, 140 nt
Filed under: Yaetakaria neptuna
Lineage: Eukaryota; Metazoa; Arthropoda; Diplopoda; Polydesmida; Xystodesmidae
Description: partial small subunit ribosomal RNA
Source: RNAcentral
AAGGUGGAUUUAUUAGUAAUUGUGUUUUAUUAUUAUGUGAUGAAAAGUGAAAUUACAUGUGUACAUAUUGCCCGUCGCUCUCGUUGUAUUGUGAGAUAAGUCGUAACAUAGUUGAUGUACUGGAAAGUAUAUCUUUUUGA